This is a long non-coding RNA of Rhinolophus ferrumequinum (greater horseshoe bat), 1483 nucleotides long. RefSeq lists it as uncharacterized. The record is from RefSeq and is a predicted model, not a curated record. The transcript is spliced from 5 exons. NCBI's taxonomy places the organism in Eukaryota, Metazoa, Chordata, Mammalia, Chiroptera, Rhinolophidae.
GGUUGAGGACUAAAAGACUAAAGAUGAAGAUUUGUUUGUGGAGUCAUACCCAUAAAGGUGAUAGCUGAAGUCUUGGGAUGAAAUCAUCCUUGGAGGAUGUGUUGAUCCAGAAAAUUGGCCAAUUACAAGAACUUGGAGAACACUGACACUUCCGGGAUGGUUCUAGGAGAGGAUACAGGAAAAGAUAGUGCAGGGAAAUGGGCACAGAAAUACGGUGAGACAGACCAGUGAAGUGGAGGCUAAAGAGAGAGGGACCCAGGAGAAGGGACAAGUGUGACAAAGUCUGAGAGGGGCUGGUGGGUUCGGCCGUCAGCAGAUCACUCGUGAUCUCUUUGAGAGCUGUCGCCACAGGGGAAAGUGGAGCUGAUGACAGUGAGAGGUCAAGUAGAGCCUGGGGUACGGGAAGGAGGAGUGGUAACAGCUUCUUCUUCCAUCUGCAACUACUUCUUCUUAGUUUCUUUAGAGGACUCUUUUCUCUGCUGCCCAGUAAAUGUUUAUGUUACCUAGGACUCUGUCCUUUGGCUCUAUGCUCGUAACAGUUAGGGUUCUCUUGGUUUCAAAUAACAGAAAGCAACUCCAGCUGGCUUGAGCAGAAAGAUUUAUUGCAAGGAUACAGGGUUACCUCACAGGACCCAAAGGAUGGAAUUAUUCUGGAGCAGGAAGGUUUCACAGCACCCACACUCAAAUCAUUGUGUGAUCAAAGAGCAGAUGUGGCUGGUGGGUUGAACCAGUGGUGUGCUACGAUGAAGAAAACGUCACUAGGGACAAAGCUGUCAGACUGACUGAACGUUGAAAGUAAAAAUUACCCUCCAAGCAAGGAGCCCCUGCUGGGGAUGAGAAGCCCCGCCAAUUGAAGAUGUGAUGAUGACAGCUUCUCCCGCAAGCAGCCUUCUCUUCUGAGGAACCCGCUGGUUCUUCCCACUGGCAUGCUUGCCUCUUUGUUGAUGAAAGUCCGCAGGGCUCUACCCAAUUCAGCUGGCUCCCACGCGAGUUGGGCUGUUCAGUGUGCGUGGGAUUCCCUUCGUGCGCCACCUCUCAGGCAUCCCAGCAUCUUCCACUCCAGCCACUGCUGGGAGCGCCUCCCCUCGGCGGCGCCCUGCACCGUCCCGGGGCCGGUUUGCCCGGACUGUGCGAACACCCGGAGGUGGCCCUCACACAGAUGCAACCGUUGACCAAUGAGGGAACAGGAGUCAGUGGAGAACUGCUUUCUCCUUCAGUCCCGCAGGUACACACCUCCGAGGUCAUCUCUUGGCUCGUGGUUCUGGUGAGACUGAGCUCUAGUUUUUCCUGGAAAUACCAAACUGGGACAGAGUUAAAGCCCAUUUUCCUGCCUCCCCUGCAAUCAGACACGACUCGGAGUUCUAGGGCUGUGCCAUGGCCAAAUCCUGAGAGACACUCUCACACCGUGUUGGCAGAGACUCACCAGUAAUCCAUGGGAUUAACUCUACACCACUUGGUUAGAAGAACAUUAUUUUAAAAUUCU